Molecule: ribosomal RNA, 235 nt
Filed under: uncultured Actinomycetales bacterium
Lineage: Bacteria; Bacillati; Actinomycetota; Actinomycetes; Actinomycetales
Description: partial 16S ribosomal RNA
Rfam family: Bacterial small subunit ribosomal RNA
Source: RNAcentral
GGCGAACGGGUGAGUAACACGUGGGUAAUCUGCCCUGCACUCUGGGAUAAGCCUGGGAAACUGGGUCUAAUACUGGAUAUGACCUUUCUCCUCAUGGGGUUUGGUGGAAAGUUUUUCGGUGUAGGAUGAGCCCGCGGCCUAUCAGCUUGUUGGCGGGGUGAUGGCCUACCAAGGCGACGACGGGUAGCCGGCCUGAGAGGGUGAUCGGCCACAUUGGGACUGAGAUACGGCCCAG